GAAAUUUCCGCGAUAUAGAAGCAGCCAACGAUCAACAGUUUUUGGCCAAACGUGGAACUCGUCUUUUUGGGUGUAGAAAUAUGAAAUAUCCCCACUUGUUUUGAACCUGUCUUCGUAAUCUCCGCUUGAAUUAUCAAAGAAAAUGGCCGUUCUCUCUUUCUUUUUAAGGAUUUUAAAAUGUGAUAAUUUCAUUGACAAUGUGCCAAACGGCCAAUUUUCAUAAGGAGGAUUGAGGCAAGAAGAGGCAUUGGACAUGGGCGCAUUAAAGCGUUGACCACAUAUGAUUUCAUCCCAAUUGAAUAUUGUUAACAAUGGUUGUAAUGGUAAGAGAAGAAUGUACCGUUUUAUUCUUUAAUCCACAUUACGUAAGAGAAGAAUGUACCAUUUUAUUCUUUAAUCCACAUUAUUUCAUGCUUUCUUGUUAAUGCUUUUAAUAAUAAUAAUAAUAAAUUCUUUAACAACCUAACAAGAUUAGGUAGAAC
RNAcentral lists this unclassified non-coding RNA (482 nucleotides) under Hevea brasiliensis (rubber tree). Lineage: Eukaryota; Viridiplantae; Streptophyta; Magnoliopsida; Malpighiales; Euphorbiaceae. The record is from RNAcentral.